AUUUAAAUAGCUUAUUUUAUAGAGCAUAAUAUUGAAGAUAUUAAGGAGAUAGAUUUAUCUUUAAAUA
RNAcentral lists this transfer RNA (67 nucleotides) under Diachrysia nadeja. Its description in RNAcentral is "tRNA-Phe". Lineage: Eukaryota; Metazoa; Arthropoda; Insecta; Lepidoptera; Noctuidae. The record is from RNAcentral.